UGGCAACAAAAACCCAACGUCUCCUAGAUGUCAUAAUUGUAACGUCCACCCAACGUCAAAUUCUGACAUCAUUAGAUGUUGAUCUUUUGUUAGUUUCAGGUUGUGGCAUUAACUAACUAAAAUCCAACGUCAAGCCAGCGUCUGAAGUCAACGUCAUAUUGAUGUCAAAUACUGACAUUUAGUCGUCAGGUAUGGCAACAAAAACCCAACGUCUCCUAGAUGUCAUAAUUGUAACGUCCACCCAACGUCAAAUUCUGACAUCAUUAGAUGUUGAUCUUUUGUUAGUUUUAGGUUGUGGCAUUAACUAACCAACAUCCAACGUCGAGCCAACGUCUCAAGCCAACGUCAUAUUGAUGUCAAAUACUGACAUUUAGUCGUCAGGUAUGGCAACCAAAACCCAACGUCUCCUAGAUGUCAUAAUUGUAACGUCCACCCAACGUCAAAUUCUGACAUCAUUAGACGUUGACCUUUUGUUAGUUUUAGGUUGUGGCAUUAACUAACCAACAUCCAACGUCGAGCCAAUGU
This is a long non-coding RNA of Labeo rohita (rohu), 525 nucleotides long. RefSeq lists it as uncharacterized. Lineage: Eukaryota; Metazoa; Chordata; Actinopteri; Cypriniformes; Cyprinidae. The record is from RefSeq and is a predicted model, not a curated record. The transcript is spliced from 3 exons.